This is a non-coding RNA of Rattus norvegicus (Norway rat), 594 nucleotides long. The record is from RefSeq and is a predicted model, not a curated record. Lineage: Eukaryota; Metazoa; Chordata; Mammalia; Rodentia; Muridae.
CAGCACCUUCGCCGGUUCUAAAGGGAGGCUCUUUAAGCUGAGGAUGCUCUACAGAGAGGCUUAUUAUGAGCAAAUAAACAACUCAGAAGUCUCAGGAAGUUUAUCUGAAAUUUACCAGAUGCACGAAAGCUUCUCCUCCCCCAAGUCGUAAGUAUAGAUAUAAGUAGUGGGGGCUGCUGAGGAGCUUAGACCUGCUGAGCUGCCUGGAAGGGGCUAAAAACCAUCUGUAUGGAAGAGACUCUCUCUGCCCAACUGCGAUGCACGAGGAGAGGAACCUGACCUAUGGGUUUGCCUGAGAGGUCCCUGGAUACAGAACUGAGGUUGUUGGGCUGGAGAGACGGCUCAGCAGUUAAGAGCACUGAGAGGUCCUAAGUUCAAUUCCCAGCAACCACAUGGUGGCUCACAACCAUCGGUCAUGGGAUCCGAUGCCCUCUUCUGGUGUGUGUGAAGACAGCUACAGUGCACUCAUUAAAUAAAGAAAAGAAAGAACUGAGGCUGUCAGCUUCAACAGCAAGGGCUGAAGACCUUUCCUCUAUUUCUAUUUUUCCUGAGUUUCUUUUUAUUGUUAAAAUUAUAACCGAUUGUUGAAUUUUA